Nicotiana attenuata is the source of this 721-nucleotide long non-coding RNA. RefSeq lists it as uncharacterized. NCBI's taxonomy places the organism in Eukaryota, Viridiplantae, Streptophyta, Magnoliopsida, Solanales, Solanaceae. The transcript is spliced from 4 exons. The record is from RefSeq and is a predicted model, not a curated record.
CGCGAUAGUCGGAAACCCAAAUUAAAAAUUAGACACGAGAUCCCUAUUUCCCCAAUUUCUUUCACAAUCUCUCUCUCUAUAUAUAUAUAUAUCUUUUUCCUCUCUACUUUCUCUUUCACUGACCAAUCGACUGACGGGGCAAACAGUGGUUGAAGACGGCGGCAAACGGUGGUUGACGACGGCAAGCAUCAGUGCAAAGAUCUGUGAAAUCCCCUCUUCUCGGAUCUGAGGCAGGCGCAUCUAGUUAUCCAUCAGGCGCGCAUGCUUGAUCCCCCAACUUGAGACUUCACGUAAAGAGAUUUAACAGUUUCAAGAGGCGGCUCGGCUUACUGUACAAUCAUGGAGAAUACUACCAUAUCAAGCAUAGUAAAGGCAUCUAUGGAGAAUAUGAUCCUUCGGUCCUUACUCGUAGAUCAAAUCAACACGAUUUUGAGGAAGGAACAUACCGGGCAAACAGGGAGGAAGAUCCCGCCGAUGAACAUGAAACAAGCGAGGAAGAAUCAUUGGAUGAACAUGAAACAAGCGAUGAGGAAGAAUUACUUGAUGAAAAUGAAACAAGCGAUGAAGAAGAACUAAAUGAUGAAUAUCAAUCAAGCGAAGAGGAUUGACAUGUUGGCUUUUAUGUGUUUUCGUUAUUUAUUUAUUAAGCUGAAGAAUUUUUUUACAUUUUUUUUAUGUCUUAACAUAUUUCAUCUAAUGUUUUUAAUAUACUUAUGUUACA